Molecule: ribosomal RNA, 254 nt
Filed under: uncultured bacterium
Lineage: Bacteria
Description: partial 16S ribosomal RNA
Rfam family: Bacterial small subunit ribosomal RNA
Source: RNAcentral
GACAGAGGUGCCGAGCGUUAGGCGGAAUCACUGGGCUUAAAGCGUGUGUAGGCGGACCGUUAAGUACCUUGUGAAAUCCCCCCGGCUCAACCGGGGAACGGCUGGGUAUACUGGCGGUCUUGAGCCAUCCAGGGGCAGUCGGAACAGACGGUGGAGCGGUGAAAUGCGUAGAUAUCGUCUGGAACGCCGAAGGUGAAAACAGACUGCUGGGGAUGCGCUGACGCUGAGACACGAAAGCCAGGGGAGCGAACGGG